UGUGUGUGUGUGUGUACAGGGAACUCUAGCACAUGCUAGAAAAACGCUCUACAGCUGAGUCAAAUCCCCAGCCUGACAUAUUUUUUCAAAUGCCAUAAAUCUGACAGUUAGGAACUUUAUAUAACUGGUAAUACCUUCAUCUUUUUAGCAUGAGCCACAUACCCAAUAGGGUAUGAAGUACUUCAGAGAAAAUCCAAGCUGGUGUGAUAGUUUUUUGCUGUUAUCUUAGCAGGUAUGAUGUUGCAACAAGAGCUUCGCUUGAGCCCAAGAAUUCAAGAGCAGCCUCAGCAACACAAACCCAGGUAAGGGUGGGAAAAGAACUGAUUCCACAAAGUUGUCCUACGACCAUUCCACCCAUGAUGCAGACCUACAACAAAGACUGAUGCAAGAGGAUUGCAAGUUCAAGGCCUGCUUGGGCUAUAGAGAGAACUCAAGACAAGUUAGACAACGUGGUAAGACCCCGUCUCAAAAUUA
Mesocricetus auratus (golden hamster) is the source of this 474-nucleotide long non-coding RNA. RefSeq lists it as uncharacterized. The transcript is spliced from 3 exons. NCBI's taxonomy places the organism in Eukaryota, Metazoa, Chordata, Mammalia, Rodentia, Cricetidae. The record is from RefSeq and is a predicted model, not a curated record.